UAAGGAAUAUUGGACAAUGGAGGCAACUCUGAUCCAGCCAUGCCGCGUGAAGGAAUAAGGCCCUAUGGGUUGUAAACUUCUUUUAGACGGGACAAAACCCCUUUACGUGUAAAGGGUUGAUGGUACUGUCAGAAUAAGCAUCGGCUAACUUCGUGCCAGCAGCCGCGGUAAUACGAAGGAUGCAAGCGUUAUCCGGAAUUAUUGGGUUUAAAGGGUGCGUAGGCGGACUAAUAAGUCAGUGGUGAAAGCCUGCAGCUUAACUGCAGAAUUGCCAUUGAUACUGUUAGUCUUGAGUACAGUUGAGGUAGGCGGAAUGUGUCAUGUAGCGGUGAAAUGCUUAGAUAUGACACAGAACACCGAUUGCGAAGGCAGCUUGCUAAGCUGUAACUGACGCUGAGGCACGAAAGCGUGGGGGGUAAACA
This 422-nucleotide ribosomal RNA is filed under the name uncultured bacterium. RNAcentral describes it as "bacterial SSU rRNA". It matches the Rfam family "Bacterial small subunit ribosomal RNA", at positions 355 to 774 of the family's 1533-position model. The record is from RNAcentral.